This 561-nucleotide ribosomal RNA is filed under the name uncultured Alphaproteobacteria bacterium. RNAcentral's name for it is "bacterial SSU rRNA". It matches the Rfam family "Bacterial small subunit ribosomal RNA", at positions 38 to 645 of the family's 1533-position model. Lineage: Bacteria; Pseudomonadati; Pseudomonadota; Alphaproteobacteria. The record is from RNAcentral.
GGCGGCAGGCCUAAUACAUGCAAGUCGAACGGAUCCUUCGGGAUUAGUGGCGGACGGGUGAGUAACACGUGGGAACGUGCCCUUUGGUUCGGAACAACUCAGGGAAACUUGAGCUAAUGCCGGAUGUGCCCUUCGGGGGAAAGAUUUAUCGCCAUUGGAGCGGCCCGCGUCUGAUUAGCUAGUUGGUGGGGUAAAGGCCCACCAAGGCGACGAUCAGUAGCUGGUCUGAGAGGAUGAUCAGCCACACUGGGACUGAGACACGGCCCAGACUCCUACGGGAGGCAGCAGUAGGGAAUCUUGCGCAAUGGGCGAAAGCCUGACGCAGCCAUGCCGCGUGAAUGAUGAAGGUCUUAGGAUUGUAAAAUUCUUUCAGCGGGGACGAUAAUGACGGUACCCGCAGAAGAAGCCCCGGCUAACUUCGUGCCAGCAGCCGCGGUAAUACGAAGGGGGCUAGCGUUGCUCGGAAUUACUGGGCGUAAAGGGCGCGUAGGCGGAUGUCUUANUCAGANGUGAAAGCCCAGGGCUCAACCCUGGAACUGCCUUUGAUACUGGACAUCUUGA